RNAcentral lists this long non-coding RNA (14117 nucleotides) under Gossypium barbadense (sea-island cotton). RNAcentral describes it as "long non-coding RNA (GBAR_LNC018197)". Lineage: Eukaryota; Viridiplantae; Streptophyta; Magnoliopsida; Malvales; Malvaceae. The record is from RNAcentral.
AGGCAACGACGAGAACUCACCCUUGCCACCUGAGCUAACACCAUUUUUCGAUAGGUCUGUUAUCAAAGGUCCUGAUGGACUUGACAUGUUAUAUUUGAACCAGUGGCUAGCUACUAGCGGGUUAGAUUCAGAUACAAGUAAGAAAAGCCUGAAAAUCACAAGUGCAGGAGGAGGAGCAGCAUCAGAUCUAGUUCGAGCAACGUUUGAGAUUACUCGUGAAGAUUUCAAAAAGUUAAGGGAAAGGGUGUUACCUAAACUACCAGAUAGUGGGAAAGAAAUGCAUCUAUCAACUUUUGUGCUUUCGUUUGCUUAUGUAACAACUUGCAUGGUGAAAGCUAGAGGAGGAGAUGGAGAUAGAAAAGUUGCUUUCGCAUUCAUAGCUGAUUGCAGGCCACGAUUAAACCCUCCUGUCUCACAAAACUAUUUCGGAAACUGUAAUAGACCUAAAUUUGAAGUGGCGAAAGCAAGGGAUUUCCUUGAUGAAAACGGGUUUGUGUUUGCUGUUCAGAAAGCAAGUGGAAUGGUUAAAGAUUUAAUGGAGAGAUGGGUUCUUGAAGGAAUGGAAAGGAUUCUAUCAGAUAGUUUAGAUGUUCUUAAAGAAACAUCUGAGUCAAACCUUCAAAUUAUAACUGUUGCAGGAUCGCCUCGAUUUGGUGUUUAUGGAACAGAUUUUGGAUGGGGCAAACCCCAUAAGGUGGUAAUUGUUUCCAUUGAGAAGAAUGGAGCUAUUUCCAUGGCAGAAAGUAGAGAUGGGAGCGGGGGGGUUGAAAUUGGUUUGGCUUUGAAUAAGCACGAGAUGAACAAUAUUUCUUGGUUGUUUCCAAGAUACGUUUAACGGGAGGGUUUAUUUUAAUUUAUUUUGUUGUUUUGUAAUGAUAUUUUAUUAAUAUUAUAUGAAAAUCAUGCUUCAUAUUAUGCUAUUUUUCAUUUAAGCAGAGGUUGAUUGCUCCACUUUAUGCUAUUUAAGCAGAAAGAAAACAUGUGGAGGUGGGGUGUUCAAAAUUCGGGUAAAACUGAAAAAAUUUGGUUAAUUGAUCGAAUUCGGUUAAUCGAUCGGUUAACCGAAUUUUUUCGGUCGGGGUCAGUUAAUUAUUUUUUAAUUUUUCGAUUAACAGUUAAUUCGGUUCGAAAUCGGUCGGUUAACAGAAUUUUUUCAGUUUAAUCAAAAAAUUUAAUAAAUAAAAUUAUAAUAUAUAAGUAGGCUCACUAUUCACCUAAGCCCAAUCCAAACCCAAGUAUUCAACCCAACCCAAUUACCCAACCCAAUUAUAAAAAUUACAAAUAAUUUAAUAAAUAAAAAUAAAAUUCUAAAACUAAAACUAAAGUCUAAAAGUCUAAAAAUAAUUUAAUUAUGUAGUGAUUCAAUUCGGUUAAUUCGGUUAAUUCGGGUAAUCUAGUUAAUUCUGUUAAUUCGGGUAAUUCGGUUAAUUUUUAACCAAAAAUAAAAAAUACAUAAUUUUCGGUUAAUUCGGUUAACUGACCGAAUUAACCGAAAAAAUUUAGGUUCGGUUAACAGUUAAAAAUUUUGAAAGGUCGAUUAAUUCGGUUAAUGUUAUUUCGGGUCGGUUAACCGAAUGAACACCCCUAUGUGGAGGUGGUUGAUUGCUUACCCCACUUUUAUCUAUUUGUCCAAAUAAUGCUUUAUUUGAUAUAUAUGUUAAGGAAAUUUCGAAAAACACUAAUGACUGAGAAGGGCCUUUAUUGGUUUCCACAAAAGCAUCGUACAAGCAUUAGUUAAGUGAUGGAGCCAUGUUAGUUGCAGGGGUGAAUUACCCAUAAAUGCCGGUAUGUUUGGAAAAUUACCUAAUUAGAUUAGUUUUUCUAAAAUUUAUCGGAUUAGGCCAAAUUUGGAGAGAGAGAACAAAAACGAGUGUUUUCCAUAAUGCCUACCCCGCACCCCAGCGGUCAAAUUAUAAUGGCUCCCCCCCCAACGACUAUUUCAACGAAAUUUUAACCCUCCGUCUUUAAUCGGACCAUACUUGAGAGAUGCGAGAUUUUUGCAUAUGGCCCCGUAUAGGUAGAUGGUGUAAAUUGGACCCCACACUUAUAAGCGCGUUGGUGAAAAGAUGGAGACCCGAGAUGCACACAUUCCAUCUUACUAUCACACUCGAGGAUGUGCAGUUACAGCUUGGGUUACAGGUGGAUGGCAGUUGUCGCAGCUAAUUAGAGAGAUGUCUGCGAGCAACUUUAUUGGUUUCCACAAAAGCAUCGUACAAGCAUUAAUUAAGUGAUGGAGCCAUGUUAGCUGCAGGGGUGAAUUACCCAUAAAUGCCGGUAUGUUUGGAAAAUUACCUAAUUAGAUUAGUUUUUCUAAAAUUUAUUGGAUUAGGCCAAAUUUGGAGAAAUAAAACAAAAACGAGUGUUUUCCAUAAUGCCUACCCCGCACCCCAGCGGUUAAAUUAUAAUGGCUCCCCCCAACGACUAUUUCAAUAAAAUUUUAACCCUCUGUCUUUAAUCGGACCAUACUUGAGAGAUGCGAGAUUUUUGCAUAUGGCCCGUUAGGUAGAGGGUGUAAAUUAGACCCCACACUUAUAAGCGCGUUGGUGAAAAGAUGGAGACCCGAGAUGCACACAUUCCAUCUUACUAUCACACUCGAGGAUGUGCAAUUACAGCUUGGGUUACAGGUGGAUGGAAGUUGUCGCAGCUAAUUAGAGAGAUGUCUGCGAGCAACUUUUGGAGAGGGUUUCGGACUUGAUUUAUGGAGCUUGGAUAGAUGUGAAUUGGAUGAAAAGAAAUUUUGUUGGGCUCAAUGCAAAGUUGAGUAAAGUUGAAAGAGUGUCAUAUUGAAGUUUGGUUUGGUAAAUUUUGACGUUUGGCUAGUUAAUUAAGGAAACAAGACUAAAUCGUAAAAGAUGUAAAACUUAAUCUCUAUUGAUUGCUAUUAGCUAAAUGCGUGUUUAAUGUUUGUUUAAGGAUCUAAAUGGUAAUUAUACCCUUUUUAAGGUUAUUGGACGGUUAGUGAAGGAAAUUGAAUUAAAUAUAUGUGUUUUAUAAUAUUAAUUUCUUUAGUUUGAAGCUUGAUGAUGAAAUAGGACUAUUUUGUAAAGUGAUUUUGGAUAGUUUUUAAGUUUAGGAGCUAAAACAAUAAAAUAUUAAAUUUAGCAUGAAAUUCUUGUAAACUUUCAUUAAUUAUAGGUUGUAAAAGAGUAAAGAUGAAUUAGGCCUAAGGGUUUUGGGCUUAAUUUUGAAAAAAAAAAUUAAGUUUCAAUUUAGGGACUAAAGUGAAUAAAAGGUAAAAGUUCAGGGAAAAUUGCUAAGUAGUCCUCGGUGUGGUGUUAUAAUGAUGGAGAUAGUAUGAGAAUUGAGUUAAGGCCCGUGUGAGCUUAGUGAAUGAUUAAGAUACAAAUGACAUGUCAUUAGGAUUUAUCAAGCACUAUGUGCCAGUGAUUAUAUUGAUCAGGUACUAUGUAUCAGUGACCAUAUUAUUAGGUAUUGUGUAACAGCCCGGUUUAGACCCUAGUCGGACAGUGAUUUCAGGACCACAAAUUCAAGUUAGAAAUAUAUUUUAAUAUUAUUUUUGGUGUCUACAGCAUGUUAAUUUAUAUGUGUGAAAAUUUUGUGUGAAAAUUUUAUCGUUUGUAUGCUCGAUUUUAUAAAAAAAAAACUUAAUCGCGUAAAUUGUAAAAGUGGCAUUCUAAUUGUUAAAGUGCUUAAUUGCUUUGAUUAAUUAAUUAUGGAGUCCUUAAAAUGAAAUUUAGCCAUUGAAUACAUGAAUGAACGGUAAUGGCAUGCAUUAUAUGAUUUUAUUAUUAAAUCAUUAAGGUUAUAUUGGUAAAUGGAUAAUAAAAUGUAAUUAAAAUAAAACAAAAUAGGAAAUGGCCAUGCAUGUUCAUCUUUUGGCCAAAUAUUGAAGAGAAAAAGAACCAUUUGAAAGCUUUAAAGAUUCGGCACUUUGAAGCUUAAAUUGAGGUAUGGAUUUUGUUUGGUUUUCGAUAAUUUUUACUUUUUUGAGAUCUUUGCUUUGUAUAUUACCUAGCCCAUGCUUUAAUUUUCAAAAUUGAUGAUGAAUUUGAGAUUUUCCAUUGUUGAUAAUGUGAUGAAUUUGUUGUUUGAUGAUAAAAAAUAAAUCUUUAAUGUUUGAUUAUCAUGUUUAAUUAAGUGAUUUUUUGAUAAAAAUCUAAAUUAGGGAUUUAUUUGUGAAAUUUGAAAUUUUAGGGGUUUAAAUAUGAAAUGAAUGAAAUAUAUGAGCUGAUAGGGACCAUAGGAAGAUUCGGCUAAGGCAUGGUUUUGAUGAAUUUUGUGUAUUUAGUGUAUUUUUGUAUUAAUGACUAAAAUGUUAAAAAUGUGAAAUUUGGGGGCUAAAGUGUAAAUGCCCUAAUUAGGUGUUUAUGGAUUGAAUUAAAUGAGAUGUGUUAUUAAAUAGCCAAAUUUGAAUUUAUUUAGAUCAAGAAAAGAGGAAGUCGGAUUUGGAUCGGAGAAAAUCGAAGGUUGUCGAAUAGUCGUUUCGAUCCGUUCCUGUCCGUACGAUGUAAGUUUGUAAGUAAAUAAAUGUAGUUAAAUUUGAAUGUAUAUGUGUUAUAAAUGCCGAAUUGAAUUUUAAUGAAUAUAUAUGUACAUGCCAAAUUAUUUUUAAGUAUGGGAGAAUUGUUUACGAGCUUAAUUCAAUUGAAUUACGGCAUCCGAAAGCCUGUACGAACCAUAGGAUUCCGAUAUGUGAUAUCGUGUAAGACCACGUCUGGGACGUUGACAUCGAUUUGAUAUUUACGUGUAAGACCAUGUCUAGGACAUUGGCAUCAUAUAUGAUUUCGUGUAAGACCCUGUCUGGGACAGUGGCAUCGUUAUUUGAUUACAUGUAAGACCACGUCUAGGACGUUGGCAUUGUACGAGCUUUUUGAGCUAUCCGAGUAUUCUUUUUUAUUUCGAAUGGUUUAACGGGAAAUGAUGCGACAAAAUUGAAUGUGAGUUUGAAUUAAACGAUUCAAAUAUGUUUGAGUUAUAUGAAGUGUGGAAGUAUAGGUAAGUAUUGUGGUAUAACAUGAAAAUGUGAGCUAAUUACUUAAAUAUGAUUAUAUAUAUGUGUGUUCAAGAUUGGGAGUAUUCAACCUACUUGUAUGAAUUAUAAAUGUUCUUUGGUAAACUAUUUGCUUAUGACUUACUAAGCUAUUUAAGCUUACUGUGUGAUUGCUCGUUCGUUGUUUUAUAGAUUUUGGAAGCUAGUUACGAGCUUGGGGAUAGUCAAAGAAAUCCCUCACACUAUCGAACGAUAUUUUUGUAUUUUUAAAACUUGAAUUAUGAACUUAUGGCAUGUAUAGGCUAGCAUUUGUUUUGAUUGGCCUUGAAUUUUGUAUAUGUGUUUGGCCAUGUGAAAAUGGCUUGAUUAUAAUAUUAUGGCUUGUGUGUAUGUGGUAUGACUUAUACUUAUUUUGGAGGUAUGUUUUAUGUUUUACAUGCUUGAAGGGUUUGGUUUUAUGAUUCGACAAUGAGUAAUAAAAAGUAUGAUGAACAAUCGACCAACAAAUUAGCUCAUAUGGAAAUGUGUUUUAUGGUAUAACUUGUGUAGUAGAUGGAUGUGUAUUUGAAUCGUGGUGCAUGUAUCUAUAAGCUAUGUGAUGACUUUGCUAUAAAACGAUAAAUUAGUAUUUGGUGUGGCUUAUUAUUGACUUAUUUUGGAUGUACAAUUUGUUUAAUGAAUUGGCUUGAAGGUGGUAAAUGAUGUGUAUGCAUUUUCGGUCUUAUAGGUAGCAUAUUUAAGAAGUAUGAUAUGUGGUUAUUUUGUGUGUUAUAUGAUGACAUGAUUCAAAAUGAAUAAAUAGGUAAGAAGACAGAAAGAUGAGUAUAUCAUUGAUGGUGUAAUGGUUAUUUGGCUGCAAUUUGAAAUGGUAAUUAACUACAUGUUUUAAAAUGGUUUGGCUUGAUCAUUUGAGGCUAAAUUUAAUGACCGAAUAUAGGGAUAAUUGAUUUGUUGUGUUUAUGUGUUGGGGCAUGAUAAUUAGCAUGCAAAUUGGUGUACUUAAAAUCGUUGCUUAUGUUCAAAAAUUGUUUAACGUGACUAUGGUAUAAUGCACAUAGGUUGGUAAUGUUUACAAAUGUAUUUGGCUGUAUAGUGAAGCUUGCCUAUGUUUUUUUAUUUUAUUUGUAUUGCUAAUAAGGUGUGUGAAAAGCUUAACCUAAGUAAAUGUGCGCAUAUGCAUAACAUACAAAUUGCUAUUUUUUUAUAAAUUAGUUAAUGAAUUGGGUUAGCCAUGAUUUGGUAUUUGAAUUUAGAAAUGGCUUCGUUUUAGAGUGUUAUGCGCAUGUAUAUAUGUCUUAUAAAAUGAUAUAUUUGAUGAUUAGUUAAAGAUAUGGAUUGUUAUGACUUAGUAUGCAUAUGUGCAUAGUUUAUAAAAUAGCAUGGCUAGAAGUUUGCUAAUGAAAUAAAUAUAUGCAACAGAUGAUUUGACAUAAGCUUAGUAAAUAUGAUGUAAUGAUAUAAGCUUGAAUAUAUUAUAAAUAUUUGAAUGGUAUGAAUAUGAUAGUAAAUAGGUUCGAAUAAUGGGUUUGUAAAGCAUGCAAUAUUUUAUUGAUGUAUGAUAGCUUGGUACAAAUUUUAAAAAGGUUAAGAGUAUUGAUUGAUUGAAUUUUAGAGUGCCAUGAUCUUGGGUCAUAAGGUUCGGCUAUUGGAGUUAUAUAGUAUAUGUAUUAUGAUAUGAUGUAUAUUAAUUGGGUCGAAUAGGUGAUUAAAUAAAUAAUAUUGAUAUGUUUAAAUUUUAAAGCAUAAAUUGCUUAUGUAUUAAAAGUAGUAAAGCAUAAUUGGUUUUUAGUUGGUUAAGUGAUCUAUAUGUGCGAAUGUGAAUUAUAUGAUUUAGCUGCUAGUUAUUAUUCGAGUUUAAAAAUUUUUGGAUUGAGUUAAUAUAAUUUGUGCAUAAGUUAAAAUGAAAGACUGUUCUGAGUUGUGUUUUGGUCGGUAAUGCCUCGGGACCCUAAUCCAGCAACGGAGACAGGCUAGGAGUGUUACACUUUGUAUCGGUGUUAUAUUUAUGGUUCAUGUGUAUACCAUGUUAAUAGAUAGUAUGGAAUGAUGUACUAACCUAUUUGGUUAUGUUGUGAAAGAUAUAAGGUGAUUAUGGAACAAUAAGUAUGUAUGUUAUUUGCAUUAAGUAAAUUAUGAAAUGUCAGGUACGUUGUGCUUAAAUUUUAUACGAACUUACUACGCUUUAAGUAAGCUUAACUUGUUUCAUUUUCUUCCUUGUAGAUUGUCGGAUUCGUGUUAUCAAUUGGAUCAUCUUUGGAGAAUCACACUAUCUGUCAACUCUUUUGGUAGAUUUUUAUCCAUUUUGGAAUAGGUUAUAAAUGGCAUGUAAAUAGGUGUUUUGGUUUCAAAUGUACAUAUAUGCAAGUUGUGGGUUGAAAUAGUACAUGAAUGUUAAACUGGAAUUUUGGCUAAGUUGGUAGCUUUAUGGAUAUGAAAGUCUAUUUAUAUGAAAUUCUUUGAUCUUGCUCCAUAGGUUAUAAGGUACUAUGGAAUGGAUAGGUAUGGCAUGUAAAUACAUUAGAUGUUAUAUGUUUGAGCUCUUAUGUAACACUUUAUGUGAAGUAGAUUUUAAAUUGGUUAAGUUAGGUUAUGUGGUCCAUAAGGUAAGGUUAAGGCAAGUAUUUAUAAAUGCUAUGUUUUGGUAUUUGAAAUGAUGAUUAUGUGAGAAUGUUUAGGUAUGUGAUUUUUGGUAUGAAUGAUGAUGAAUGUGUGAUUGUAAAUGGUUCAAUUGAGGUGCCAAGUGUGGCAUAUUGGUUAGGCAUUUAGGAUGGAUGUUUUAAGGUGUGGUUUUGGAAUAUAUUUUUAUGUUUUUGAUCAGGUUGAUUAAUGGUUAAAUGCUUACUUGUGGCUUAAGUGAACCUAGGAUGUUGUUGCUUGGUUUAGAAGGUAUUUUAGGUUCACACAGUCUAAUACACAGUCUGCCACAGGAUAGUGUGCCAUACAUGGGCAUAUGGCAUGGCUAUGUGGUCUAUUUAAUUUAGGUGCUAAUUGGUCCACACAGCUACAGUUUGUUACACGGCCUGGCAACACAGCCAUGUGACCCAGUCUUACAUGGCUUUAGUUUGUUUCACGGCUUAGACAUACAACCAUGUCUUCUAGCAUCAUAGGGCAUCAGCCUGUCACAUGGCCUGGCCACCCUACAGUGUGACCCAUGUUUUUACUUUUUACUUAUUAUUUCAUAAAAGUUUCAAAUUAGUCAUGAUUUGUUUUUGAGUUGGUUUAAAAGCUUCGUAAGCUCAAUUAAGGCUCGGUUUUGGUUGUAAAUCAUAUUACAAUGAUGCAGUUGAAUGCUUGAUGUUUUAAUUUGAUAUUUAAGUUGAAUUCUUGGAUGAUAGAUGUUGUUAACUGUUGUAACAUCUUGUAGCUCGGGUCCGAAAAUCGAACCAGGUUAGGUGUGUUACAUUACAAGUUUAUUAAAGUUCAAUGGUUAAUACUAUGUCGUGCUACUGGACGUGUCCGACAAUUUUCUAAACUUCACCAUAGACUUCAAUCGUCGUUCACGACCAUCGUUGCCCUUCCAAUUGAUUCCACUUCUUCUGGGAUCUCGCCAUUUAUCACAUUUCUUCGUAGUUUGGUUUCUUACACGAACACAACUGAAGAGAUAUCCUCGAUUGAGGCUGUUAUAGGUUAAAUUGAAUAAGGCAUAACAUUCCUCCCCUAUUGAUUCCUCAUUUUGCUCGAGAUCGAUAGUCGAUUUAAAAGUGGCAAAAAAUGGCCUACCCAAUAGAAUGUGGAUUUACUAAUUUUCCCUAAAGUUAAGGACUACAAAGUCUAAGUUCAUGUAAUAGCCCGAAUUUGGGCCUAGUCGAAACAGUGGUUUCGGGACCACAAAUGUAAUAUUUUGAAAAUUUCUACAGUAAGAUAUUAUCCUUGGUAUAGUAAAAUAAGGAAAUAAAGUAACAAAAAGGGAAAUUUUGAGUUAUGUCAACAUUGAGAAGUAUAUUAUGACAUAUUAAUGCAAUGAAGGAUUAAAUCGCAAAAGUGAGAAAAGUAUUGUUGCCUAAGAGUAAAUACUCAAAAUUUGAGGGGUUAAAGUGUAAAUAUGAAAAAGUUGAAGGACCAAAGGUGUAAAUAUUUUAAGAGUGGAAUGAUCUAGAAACUAAGGAAAAUGGAUGAAUUAGGACCAACUUGAAUAAGAUAAGAAUUAUGAGGGACUAAAUCAUAAUUUUACCAAAUUAAGUGUGACUCAAUGAUGGAAUUUUAAAAGAUUAUGAAGGGAAAAAUGGUCAAUUAGAAGAGAGAGAAAUCUAGAAGGCGAUGAUGAUGAUCUAGAAGGCGAUGAUGAUGUUGGUGAUAUUUUAGAUUAAUUAAUUAAAUAAAUAUUAGUUUAUUAAUAUUUUAAUAUGAUUUUUAAAUGAUAUUUUAUUAAUUUAUUAUUAUUCUAUUUAGUAUAUAUAUGAAAGGAAAGAUGAGGAAUUAUCAUCUUCUUCCCCAUGCAACCAACGUAUGAAGAGGAAAGAAAGAAAGAAACUUUCUUUUCUUUACAAUUUGGUCCUUUUAUAAAAAUUCACCAUUUUCACUUAGAAAUCAAAAGAAUUUCCAUAUCCAUCAAGAGAGAAAGAUAACAAGGAGACUAUGGGGAGUUAGAAUAUCAAGUUACAUUUAAGAAAUAGAAGCUGGAGGAGAGAGAAAAUCAAGUUAAAGAUUGAAAUCAAUUGAGCAAGGUAAGAACAUCAAGAUUUCAAUAUAUUUUUGAGUUUGAUAUUAUUGAAAAGGUAUGAAAUUGAUGUUAAUGUAGAGUUUUAUUAUAUAAGGUUUUAUGUUCUUGGUAUGUUAGUGAAGAGAAAAUAAGAGAAAGUGAUGAGAAAUAGUGUAGAGAAAGAAAAUAAGAGUGUUAUAAACUUAGUAAUCAAUAUUUUACACUAAAACAGUUUGGACAGCAGCAGUAGGUUAACUUUGAAAAAUCACCAAAAAAUGUGGGAAUUGAAUUAGAAGAUUAAUAAAAUAUGAAAUUAAAUCUUAUUGAGUCUAGUUUCUCAUACAAGAAACGGUGUAAGUAAUAGAAUUGUAAAUUAUGAGAUAUAAUAAAUUUUGUGAGACAAUGUCAGAAUGAUUUCGGGUUCCCCUGUUCUGACUUUGGAAAAUCAUCAAAAAUUGAAGAAAAAUAAUUAUGAGUUAUAAUUUAUAUGAUUAGAAUCCUUAAUGAAUCUAUUUUCAAAUUAUAUAAACGGAAACAUCAUCUAAAUUCUUUACAAUUAGAUAAUUCAUUUUUAGUGAAGAGUGGUCGGAACUGUCAGACAGCAAAAUAGGGGAAACUUUAAAAAAUAAAAUGUACUAUUUGGCUGAACCAAAAAUUCUAAAUAUUUUAUGGCAAGAAGGUAUGUAAGUCUAGUUUCAGGGAAAAUUAACGGAUCUUAAUUUGGAUUUCUGUAUCUCAAGAUAUAAAUGAUUUAGUGACUAUGACUCAAAUGGACAGCUUUGAAUAAAUUUACAAGAAAAUAGUGAAAUUAUAGAUAAUGUUACUUAUAAGCAUGUUAUGUAAAUCAAGGAUGUGGAAUGGAGAGGAGGAGGAGGAAAAUAAAUUUAUGAAUAUUAUGCUAGCAUGGAUUUGCAUUUCAAAUGGUUAAUUUGCAUGAUUUGGGCUCAAGGACUAAAUUGAAUAAAAGUAAAACUUUAGGGGCAAUUUUGGAAAAAUGUCAAAAAUGACCAAAUUGCAUGAAAUGAAUUGUUUUAUUAUUUAAAUUACUAAAUUGAAUGAAAUAUUAAUUUAGAUCAAUAUUGGGUGGAAAUUCGAGAAAAAUAGAAAAUUUUCAAAAUGUCCCCGAAUUUUGGUAUUUCUGCAAUUUAGCCUGGUAAGUUCGUAUGAACUAUAUUUUGUAUAAUUUUAAUUGAAUUGAAUGCUAUUUGGUAAUGAAUAUUAUAUAUGUGUGUGUUUGGAAUUGAAUUAUUAUUGGAUGUUUUGAAAUGAUUAUCGGAAGCUCAAUUGGGUUGGAGAUAUAUCACAUUAUCCAUUGGUUCUAUCGGAAAUUUUGGAUGAUUUGAUUCUGGUUAUUGUAUAAGUUAAAUUGGUUAAUGUUAGCUCAUAAAUGUUUUGAUUUUGAUUGGUUAUAAAUAUGAAUGCUUGAUGAAAUAAAAUGUCUGAAAAUUAAUUUGUAAACUCUGGUAAUGCUCUAUAACCCUAUUCUGGGGAAGGAUACGGGUUAGGAGUGUUACAGUUCAAAUACUUAAGGAACCGAAAGCUAAUGUGUUGGGUAUAUGACUUCUACAAUAUGUAGCAUAAUUUACAAUAGUAGAAUUCAUAGCCCAACUAAAUAGGUAAAUGAUAUCCUCUCACAGACAUGACAUGAUAGAUGAAAAGUAAAAGUUAUCACGGGUUGUUUAUCUUUGUGAUAAAGGACUUUAUUACUAUUUGAUAGUAAUUGACUUUUCAUGAAGGAAGAUGUAAUGGUUACAAUGAGAUAAAAUAAGAUCACAUUGGGAGAACAGAUUUAUCCCAAUGAGAUUAAGGAUAUCCUAUGAGCGUAACACACUUAUGACAAGGUCAUUGAACGAACACUGGUUAAGUAGCUUUCGUAAUGGUAAGUAAUUAGGGCUAGCCCAGUCACGAUACUAUAGUGGAACGACUUCGUGAUUAAAUGAGUUUAUAAUUAAUAGGCGAAAAGCUGAAAUUUAAUUAUAAAUCAUUUGAGCAUUAAUUCAUAUGUCCAAUCGGUCCAUUUGCUAGCUUGUUGAAACUGGAAAUGAAUUGUAUGUAGAAUCAAAUAAAUAGAAAUGGAUGAAAAUGAUAAAGAUAACGAAAUGAGUUAUAUUUGCAAAUGAUAAAUUUUCCCCUCAUGUUAUUAUACUAGUAACCAAGUGAGGCAUAAAUGUUAUAUUGAUCAGUUCAAAAGUUUUCCAAACUCGUACUUUUGUAUAGACUAAAUUUCUUUCUCACCUAUGUGAAUAAACACAUUUAUUUUGUUUAUAAUAAUAAUUCAUAAUAAGUACAAAAUAUAUUUAGAUUAAAUAUGAAAAUUAUUUAUAUUAAAUUAAUAAACAGAUUUAAUAAUAGUUAAAAAUAGGCUUUUUUUACAAAAAAAAUUAAUUAAAAAAAUAAAUUGAAGGAAAAACUAUUUAUGAAAUUGAGAUUUUAUUUUUAUCAACUUUUUGUUUUGGUAACAUUUUUUUUUUUCAAAAGGGUUCUACCUGAUACAUUAAUGGCACUCAUUUAAAUUUUUUUCAUUUUUUUCUCCCAUCAUAUAUACACGUGAAAAUAUAAGUAUUUUAAAAAGUAGACAUUGAUGUUAGGUGACGCAAUGGUAAGAUCACUAAAAAUUUCAUCUUUUGGUAGAAAAGUUGGAUGGUGCCUUUGUUUAUAUUGAAUAAAACGUGUUAUAUAGUGUGUGAAGCCCGUAGCCUUCACGGUUUGGAAAAAACGGAGAAAGUUUCGUGCUGGAUUCAUCCCCCUGAAACAAUAAGCGUCAUUCAUUCAUUCUUCCUUCCUUUUCAAAGUUCCCAUCUUAUCCGCCCAACUUUGAUCUUUUGUGUUGUGACACAAUGUUUUUUUUUUAAAUUUAUAUUAUUUUUCAAAUCACUUAAAAUAAUAAAAAAAUUAAUAGAUAACUUAUAUGUGAAUUAUAACGUUAAUAAUUAAUUAAUUUUUUAAAAUUAUAAAAAAUAUUUUAAAAUUUUUUAUUUUUUAAAAAUUAAUAAAAAAUUAAUACAACAUAUACAUGUUGUAUUCCACAUCAUUGUAAUUAAUAAAUAUUAACCAACUAUUAAGCCAAAUUUUACAAAUUUUUUAUAAUUUUAUAAUAAUUUAUUAAUUAAAAUCGUAUUUAUAAUUGAAAUGAGGAACCAAAAUUCCACCACAAUACUUCUCUUGGCCCUAAACGAAUACUCGAACAAUUAUGAUAAAGGAUUACAACGAAACAGAAUGGAAAUUCUCGAGGUGACCCAAGUUGCCCCAAUCUCUAACUCACCAGAAUCAACGACUGAAUUCCGUCUUCCACUCACUUUCUCCGACAUAUUCUGGUUCAAGCUUCCUCCUGUUGAGCGCCUCUUCUUUUACCAACUCGACGAGUUAACCCCUGCCUGUUUCAACUCAGUUAUCCUCCCAAAACUCAAGCGCUCUCUUUCUCUCACACUCGUCCAUUACCUCCCCCUCGCUGGCAAUCUCAAGUGGCCACCAAACGAACCUAAACCCAUCAUUUUAUACACUCCAAACGAUGGAGUUUCCCUCACAGUUGCCCACUCCGAUGCCGACUUUAACAUCCUUUCCAGCGACGGGGUCUAUGAUGCUGCUGAGUUGCAUCCUCUCAAACCUGACCUCGUAACUUCAGAUGUUUCGGCAUCAGCUAUAGCUGUGCAAGUAACCCUGUUCCCAAAUAAGGGGUUCUGCAUAGGAAUCACAGCUCACCAUGCAGUUCUUGAUGGCCAAACCACAACCAUGUUCAUCAAAUCUUGGGCUCAUAUAUGCAAGCAAGGCAACGAAGAGAACUCACCCUUACCACCUGAGCUAACACCAUUUUUCGACAGGUCUGUUGUCAAAGGUCCUGAUGGACUUGACAUGUUAUAUUUGAACCAGUGGCUAGCUAGUAGCGGGUCAGAUUCAGAUACAAGUAAGAAAAGCCUGAAAAUCACGACAAGUGCAGGAGGAGGAGCAGCAUCAGAUCUAGUUCGAGCAACGUUUGAGAUUACUCGUGAAGAUUUGAAAAAGUUAAGAGAAAGGGUGUUACCUAAACUACCAGAGUGGGAAAGAAGUGCAUCUAUCAACUUUUGUGCUUUCGUUUGCUUAUGUAACAACUUGCAUGGUGAAAGCUAGAGGAGGAGAUGGAGACAGAAAAGUUGCUUUCGCAUUCACAGCUGAUUGCAGGCCACUAUUAAACCCUCCUGUCUCACAAAACUAUUUCGGAAACUGUAAUAGACCUAAAUUUGUAAUGGCGAAAGCAAGGGAUUUCCUUGAUGAAAACGGGUUUGUGUUUGCUGUUCAGAAAGCAAGUGGGAUGGUUAAAGAUUUAAUGGAGAGAUGGGUUCUUGAAGGAAUGGAAAAGAUUCUAUCAUAUAGUUUAGAUGUUCUUAAAGAAGCAUCUGAGUCAAACCUUCAAAUUAUAACUGUUGCAGGUUCGCCUCGAUUUGGUGUUUAUGGAACAGAUUUUGGAUGGGGCAAACCCCAUAAGGUGGUAAUUGUUUCCAUUGAGAAGAAUGGAGCUAUUUCCAUGGCAGAAAGUAGAGAUGGGAGCGGCGG